RNA transcript from Pipra filicauda (Wire-tailed manakin), 4149 nucleotides. It is a transcript of the gene named leucine rich repeat containing 34, with no coding region annotated. NCBI's taxonomy places the organism in Eukaryota, Metazoa, Chordata, Aves, Passeriformes, Pipridae. The transcript is spliced from 12 exons. The record is from RefSeq and is a predicted model, not a curated record.
AUGGAUCUGCAAGUAUCAAUGAGCUGAUGGCUGUGGGCAGGUACUGCAGACAAUUAUUCUCCAUAUGCAGUUCCUUCAGAUUCUGGAAAAUACGUGUGCAGAAGGUUUAGUAAGUAAAGGAUUUUUCCUUAGCUUGGUAUAUAAACAAUGUACAGAGAAUAUUAGCAAGUGCAGAAGUUUAUAAACUGUGAAAUUGUUGGGAUUAUUGCUAAACACAGAGAGGCAACAUGAGUUUUAAACACUGAUUUCUGAUAUUAUUCCUAUUCUGACAGCCCAGGCCUGGUGCUGCACCAUGUACCUAAAGAGAUUAAGAGACCCUUCAGUCCUGCAUUUGGAAGCAGCUGAAGUUCAUGGAAUUUCCAUGUUGCAGCAAACCAAGAUCUUCCCCCUUCUCUUGCUCCUGCCUGCAAUUUAUUGAUGACUUCUGGCAGAGUUCUGAAUUUAAUUCCUUUAUCUUAUCCCAGUUAUAAUCUCUGUAAUGACUCCAGGAGAAAGACUUCCUCUGGAAAGAUACUGAAUUGGUUUCCAGGCAGGCUAAGGCAUUUAAAACUUAUCAGUUCCUUCACCUCCAGAGGUAUCUAGACACAGUCAUUAAAAAGAUACAUUAUGUCAAUUAAGCAGUAAUCUUUGGGAUUUUGUUUUUAGAGGAAAAAAAUCUCCCAAGAAAAUGCUGUGGAGCUGCAUUACGGUUGAUGGAUGAACACAGAAUAUUCUGCUCAUUAAUGUCACAUUAUACCUCACAGUAUGGUGGAAAUUUUGGCAAAGAAAUCCAUGUUGUUUCCUCUGCUGGAAAGAUUUCUUAUGGGGUUAAUUUUAUUUCUUAGCAGAAACAUUAGUCUGCUUCUUCAUUUCCUUUGUGUGCACAGUGCAGGGGAGAGCAAUUUAAAUGAAUGAAAUCUGAAAGUGAGUCUUUUGCAUAAAUUACUACUUUGGUGAAUGUAACUUUCAAGAAGAAAAUUGCACCAGUGAAAAAAUCCUUCUUAAAGAAGUGUUGCAUUGUAUAAAAAGGAAGGUGUAUUCUGAGCCCUACAAUGGGGAUGUCCAUGAAUACUGAUACACUUAUCAUAGCACAGCUUUAGGGUGCAUAAUUGUUCAUGAUCAAACGAAUAGCAAGUGUCAGUGGAGUUAAAGGCAUUAAUAAUAUCACAUCCAUUUUUAAAUUGUCCUCUGUUCAGUUUGCGAUAUUGAUUCUAUGCAAAUGCAGCUCUGAUUUUCUAGUGCACACAGAAAAAAAAAAAAAAAGAUGCAAAAAGCUGCAGCAGUUCCUCCAGUCAGUGUUUCAUCUUUUGAUUCAACACAAAGGUCAGUGUUUCCACAUUUUUGCCUUUUCCUCCCUGCCUGAGAGCUGAGAUGUCAGUGAUAAUGAGUAACCCAGGCUCAGGUGUGUGCUGGGUGGAACUGCCUUCUCACUGUAGCAAGGAAAGGAGGCACUUGGAAUGCUAUUAAAGCAGUUUUCACUCAGAUCUAGUAUCCUGACACUGGUUAAUCUGGUGAAGGACCCAGGUACAGUGCGUAGUCCCACAAAAACAUGGGAAAGGGAAGGCCAGCAGCAGAUGCGGUGUGAAAAAUCCUCCAGGCUGCUCAGACAGUGAGCUCUCUCAUUUCAGGGAUGUUCCUCAAACCUGGGAGAAGCUUUUGGGGGAAGCUGGGCUCCAUUUCCCCUACACGGGUCUGCCUCGGGUGGGUGGAGCCCACGCCCUCCUGCUCACAUGGGCAGCAGUGGAGGCACGGGGGGAAUUUAUUUGCUGGAAGGGGCCAGCACAAGCAUCUUUGAAGUAGGGACCGAUCCGUGUAGCCACGAGCGGUUCUGCAAAGGCUCCUCGGAGGAGGGCAGAGCACCAACUCCAUGCUCUGGGGGUGAGGUGACGAACCUCCCCUGCCCUUCCCGCAGGUCUGAGCACCACUGGCAUAGCCCAGCACCCACAGGGGCUCGGGGGGCUCCUGCAGGGCCCGGGGCUGCACAGAGCAACCCCCGCCCGCCCCUCCGGCUGCGGGCCGGGACCUCCUUGGAAACGGGCUCCGUUACCAAACAUUGUUCCCCUCGGAGCAGCCUAGUUACCAAAUUUACUCAGCGCGGGGCAGCGCUCGCCCUUGGCCGGUCCCCGCAGGUUGAUGCGGGGAGAAGGAGCAGGAGGUCAUGGCUCAGGUAAGGCCUGCAGGGCUGGGGGUUCAUCUGCUGUACAGGGACCACUCCUCUGUUAGCUCAGCUCCUGUGCCACAGCAGGUCAGAAACACCCACCAAUCCACGCUUUCCCCUCAUGCUUUUCCUGCCUGUAUCUGUUGCCCCAGUGCUGCAUACCGAGAGUUGUAACCCUUUGCAGACCGAGCCCAUUUUUACUGUUAUGCAGAUCCCGGCACAAAGCCCGCUGCUGGUGCUGUUGCUAAGCUGCCGUAACGAUGCAGUAACGCUUUGUUUUGUUUUCCGGCAGUACACGUCGGUUCGCCCAGAUCUUCACCUGCACUAUGUGCAGGCCUGUCAAAAAUCGAGCCAGCCUGAAAACCCCUUCGUUGCUCAUGUGCUUCAAGAAGCUGACAAAAAUGAUGAAAUUAGAUGUACGAAAGGGAUCACAUUAAAAAUAGCUGGAAAUAAUCACCCAGUGCCUGUGCAGAGAGUUACAGAUGAUGAUCUUGGAGUUCUUGCCUCUGUCUUACGCCACGCUGCAUUUGUCAAAGGUUUGGAUCUUGCUUAUAAUGUAUUGACUGAUGCUGGAGCAAAGACCGUGGCAACAUUCCUCCAGGAGAACUCCUCUCUGCAGUACCUGAACCUCAUGUUUAAUGACGUUGGCACAAGUGGGGCAGAGCUGAUAGCGGGAGCACUUCAUAGGAAUAGAAGUCUUGUGCACAUGAGAAUGACUGGAAACAAAAUAGGAAACCAAGGUGGGAUGUUCUUUGCUUCAAUGCUGCAAAGUAACUCAACCUUGCAGAAAUUGGAUCUUGGAGACUGUGAUCUGGGCCUGAAGUGUCUGAUAGCAAUAGCCACAGCCCUGACUCAGAACAAAUCCCUCAGAGCAAUAAACCUAAAUCGUCCCUUGCUGUACAGCCAAGAGGAAGAGACCACAGUCCAUAUAGCUAAGAUGUUGAAGGGCAACUCUUCUCUCGUGGAGCUGCACUUGAGCAAGCAUGAAAUGAAAAACUUUGGUGUAGAGCGACUGUGUGAGGCCCUGUAUGAAAACUCCAGCCUGAGAUACCUUGACCUCAGCUGUAAUAAAAUAACCUCCGAUGGUGUAAAAUUUUUGGGAGAGCUGCUAAAACGGAACCAAAGCCUGGUAAUCCUGGAUCUGAAUGCAAACAGAAUAGAAGAUGCUGGAGCCACGUACCUGAGUGAAGCCUUGUCUGUGCACAACAGGACUCUGCAGGCGUUGUCAGUAGUAAGCUGCAGUAUAAGUGGCAAAGGUCUUACAGCUCUUUCAAAUGCAAUCAAAGCAAACAUGAUACUUUCCUAUAUAUACAUCUGGGGGAACACAUUUGAUGAAGAUGCUUGUAUGAAGUGACUCCAUUUAUGCUCCUAAAUAGAAAAAGUCACCAAACAGAGUCAUGGAUUAUCCUGCUCUCCUAUCUAUGAGAUCCAAGUAUGAGGAGAAAAAGGAAGGACAGAGCAAUGAGAACAAAAGUUGAGGAUACACUGGACGUGGUUGUUUGAGAAGAAUCUGCAUGCUGUGAACAUUUCUAAGUUUUUAAACAAUUAGAUAAGCCUGUAUUGGUAUUUUCCCAGUGUUGCUGCUCUGGGACAUAGCAGGCUACACUCUGAUAGUCUACAGAGAGGCCUCUCAGUACUGAGAUACUGGUGACAGAAUUUCUUGUCAGAAACACCACUAAAAGACUCAGAUUAAGAAAUGACCAAUACUGUUAUGAGCCUUGUACCUCCCAAAUGAACCCAGAAUCCCUAAGCCUAGGACUUCAGAUGUGCAGCUGAUUUCCAUGCAUCUAUUGGCAAAAGGUACAGUCCAGACCCACAGCCUGAACACACCUACAAAUAUAUUUAUAAAUAUAUAUACUUAAAAUCUAUAUUCUAGUAAAUGAAUACAGUUUGUAGAGAUCAUACCUCAGCAGCUGAGAUAUCUUCACGAAAAAUGAGGCUAAAAAUCAAGAUUCUCAGAUGGGGACUCAAGAGUGCAGGUCACUAAAUUAUUGCUCCAAGACAAAACUACA